GGUCACAAAGGCUUACAUUUUGCUUUGAUGUCUUCAAGCGCUAAAGCUCUUCUGUAGAUCCAAGAUCCGUCUGUCCGUCAAACAAGGGCCUCCGGUGAAAGAAAAAGACCGCAGAUGGGGAUUGAAGAUGCGCUCUCCGUACGAUUCCAAAUGGCAAAAAGCAAGGCUUCCUCUACGACGUUCGACAACGUAACGAAAUGGCUAGGAAGCUGCUACCCCGAGCCUACACCGCCAAGGAUCAGAAGGCUUUUCAGCAACCUACCGCAUGUGCGAGGCGAAUGGAGGACAUCUGGGCUGUAACCCGUCCCAUCGUCACUGAGGAAUCACAACCAUCUGAUGAUGUUCAUUUCCGAUCAACAGAGAAAGCAUUUUAAAAAUUCAAACGAUCCACUGCCGGAUUCACGUCGACUCUUCCGACUAGAGCCACGCUGCUUCUCCAGCAAGACGAAAGGAAAAGACAAACUUCCCUGGGAAUUUCUGCUGCCGAUUCUAGGAUAAGAGGUAUGGAUCACGAUUUCUGAUUGCCAAAGCCUCAUGGAUGCCCGGAACAGCUCUUACACGUUCAAAUCGACACGGCGUUCUCCGGAAUACGAGAGCUCGAUGCAAUCCAAGAAUAAACCGCACUGUGUAUCCAUCUCUUCUGAAGUAAUAUCGUGCUUUACCAAGAUUAAAUUUCAAGGGAAAAGAGACCAAUUUUGACUGGGAAUCUCCGGACCUGUAAAACCCAGGGACUAAAUCUCUGGCAAAUAUGUCCCUCUUGCCCAAGUCUUCAAAUCUAGCACAAAGCAGGGAGUGAGCAUCCACCAAGGCACUUCAGGAGUCAACGAUUCUCUUUUGCCUGAAAUACUGGACGGUUUGGGGGAUUUCCCCUGAACCGUGGAACUUCCUGUGCCUAGAGAAACCUGGCACGGUGCUCCUUUCCCAAACCCCUUGGCAUCCCCCAAUUGCUAAUGAUGAAGCCUGCAAACUAGAAACUGCUCACGCAACAAAGAACUUGAGAGAACUUGCUCAAGGAUAAGAAAAUGGCAGUUAAAAUCCAGAGAAUGGGAUUGGACAAUGAAUGUACCGUUAAUGGUUCUUUUUCUCCAGAGGGAGAAUAAAUCAUCUGGUAAUGACAGAUAUGUUUAAAUCAAACUAAUCUCUAGAAGCC
This is a long non-coding RNA of Ornithorhynchus anatinus (platypus), 1150 nucleotides long. RefSeq lists it as uncharacterized. The transcript is spliced from 4 exons. The record is from RefSeq and is a predicted model, not a curated record. Lineage: Eukaryota; Metazoa; Chordata; Mammalia; Monotremata; Ornithorhynchidae.